Molecule: non-coding RNA, 112 nt
Filed under: Terribacillus aidingensis
Lineage: Bacteria; Bacillati; Bacillota; Bacilli; Caryophanales; Bacillaceae
Description: SAM-I sequence
Rfam family: SAM riboswitch aptamer (S box leader)
About the family: The SAM riboswitch is found upstream of a number of genes which code for proteins involved in methionine or cysteine biosynthesis in Gram-positive bacteria. The SAM riboswitch acts at the level of transcription termination control. The predicted structure consists of a complex stem-loop region followed by a single stem loop terminator region.
Source: Rfam by way of RNAcentral
CUCUUAUCAAGAGAGGCGGAGGGACUGGCCCGACGAUGCCCGGCAACCUGCAAGCAGAAAUGCUUAUAAGGUGCUAAUUCCUGAAAGUGCGUAUGCACUUUAGAGAUGAGAG